This is a long non-coding RNA of Chelonoidis abingdonii (Abingdon island giant tortoise), 447 nucleotides long. RefSeq lists it as uncharacterized. Lineage: Eukaryota; Metazoa; Chordata; Testudines; Testudinidae. The record is from RefSeq and is a predicted model, not a curated record.
GUGUAUUUGGUUGUCAUGGUUUUUGUUCCUAUGGCAACUGAGUUAGAUUACUAGGGGAUAGCCCAGCUAGUUUGAGCUGGUCAGUUGAGCUUCGUGUCUGUAAAUAAAUGGUAGCUUUGUUAGCUGUCUGCUCUCUGGCCUCAAGUGAUUUCUUCCUAAACUGGCUGCCCCCAAAGAUAUAACACACUCCACAUACCCCACUCCUGGUGGGUGCAGGAUGAGGCCCAGCAGCUCGUGUUCCUGCACACCAUGCACCCCGUGUGUCUCGCUGCACAGCAGAGAGGGCAGGACACACUGGAGCCGCACUGCUGCAAGGAGGUCAUUGAAGAACUGCCUGAUAACUCUCCACCCGGGGCCUUCCUCGCUAACUCCCUGAUUGCUGUGAGCAACCUCAGUUUCAUGUUCGUGUUAGUGCCAGUCCCACCCCCGCACUGCACAGUCUAAUAC